Small nucleolar RNA from Camelus ferus (Wild Bactrian camel), 118 nucleotides. It matches the Rfam family "Small nucleolar RNA SNORA43". From Rfam's summary of the family: ACA43 is a member of the H/ACA class of snoRNA that guide the sites of modification of uridines to pseudouridines. The record is from Rfam. Lineage: Eukaryota; Metazoa; Chordata; Mammalia; Artiodactyla; Camelidae.
GAUGGCGGACCUGCCGGCACCAUGGAUGCAGCUGCCCUGCUGCGCGCGUGACGUCGGGGCACAGAGGAAGCGGCCAUUUCUACGCUCAGCGCUAAGAAUGCUUUGUAGCCGGACAGUA